RNAcentral lists this ribosomal RNA (507 nucleotides) under Triticum aestivum (bread wheat). RNAcentral's name for it is "partial small subunit ribosomal RNA". The record is from RNAcentral. Lineage: Eukaryota; Viridiplantae; Streptophyta; Magnoliopsida; Poales; Poaceae.
GGUUCGAAUCUAAGAGAAAUUCUAGAUAAUAUUUCCUAGCCUAAAAUUUUCUUGUCUUCCCCGAAUGCUAAGGAGAAGAAGAGGAUUGGGUCAAAAGGAAAAGCUAUUUUGGAGUUUUAUCAACAAUUUGCUUGUGUAGGUGGGGACCUGGUAUUUUCGGAGUCCUUACGCGAGGAAUUAAAGAAAUUUUUUCAACAAAAAUGUGAAUUAGGAAGGAUUGGUCGACGAGAUAUGAAUCGGAGACUUAAUCUUGAUAUACCUCAGAACAAUACAUUCUUGUUACCACGAGAUGUAUUGGCCGCUACGAAUCAUUUGAUUGGAAUGAAAUUUGGAACGGGUAUACUUGAGGAUGACGAUAUGAAUCACUUGAAAAAUAAACAUAUUCGGGUGCGGAUCUGUUACAAGAUCAAUUCGGAUUGGCUCUUGGUCGCUUACAACAUGCAGUUCAGAAAACUAUUCAUAGAGUAUUCAUACGUCAGUCGAAACCGACUCCCCAAACUUUGGUAA